GACGAACGCUGGCGGCGUGCCUAAUACAUGCAAGUCGAACGAACCGCGACUAGGUGCUUGCACUUGGUCAAGGUGAGUGGCGAGCGGGUGAGUAACACGUGGGUAACCUACCUCAUAGUGGGGGAUAACAGUCGGAAACGACUGCUAAUACCGCAUAGGACAUAGGAUCACAUGAUUCUGUGAGGAAAGGUGGCGCAAGCUAUCGCUAAGAGAUGGACCCGCGGUGCAUUAGCUAGUUGGUAGGGUAAAGGCCUACCAAGGCGAUGAUGCAUAGCCGACCUGAGAGGGUGAUCGGCGACAUUGGAACUGAGACACGGCCCAAACUCCUACGGGAGGCAGCAGUAGGGAAUCUUCCGCAAUGGACGCAAGUCUGACGGAGCAACGCCGCGUGAGUGAAGAAGGUCUUCGGAUCGUAAAGCUCUGUUGUUAGAGAAGAACAGCGCAUAGAGUAACUGUUAUGCGUGUGACGGUAUCUAACCAGAAAGCCACGGCUAACUACGUG
This 502-nucleotide ribosomal RNA is filed under the name uncultured bacterium. RNAcentral describes it as "partial 16S ribosomal RNA". It matches the Rfam family "Bacterial small subunit ribosomal RNA", at positions 28 to 507 of the family's 1533-position model. The record is from RNAcentral.